AUUACACUCAAUUUACCGUCAUCGUCGCCAUUUACCCACUUUACUAGUGCGAACAUGCUUGCUCCGUCUCUCUGUGCACCUUCCCAACUGAAAGUCAGCACGAAACGUGUGAUGAUUUCACUUCCUGUCGGCCAAAAAAUACGACGUCCAGAUAAAUACAAAUAAAUCGAAUAAAAAAGAAAUAUGAAAACCACGAUCCCUUUUAUGUUUCUAAUUAAUAAUUUGGCUAGAUAAAUAUAUAUUAUUUUGUUUCCUUUAGUGUUUUGAAAGCGAAUUUGUCAGACAACGGAACUGAAAGUAGGAGGAGCUGUGUGCGACGUCAAACACAGCAGCCAUAACGCACAUGAGCUGCUGUAGUGUUAACAUAAUGUCUUUCUCAUUGUUGGCUGCUUGUGAUUUAAGUAAUCCAUGCAAUGUACUUUUACACAGUUUUUUAGGCUGGCACGUGGGCUGUAAAUUAUGAGUGAUUAUAAUAAAAACGAUAUCACCACAGCACAGCGUGGCUACAAACGCUACCUGGCUGACCAAAUGGCUGUUCCAGGAAGAACACUUAGACGAUGGAAAAGGAUAAGGCAAGUAGCUUCACUAGUGUUUAAUUUAUUAAAGCUGUUCAGUCAUAAUACGAUAGUAUAUAUUCUAAACCUUUAUUUUUAUUUUAUAGGAACAAGGAACAAUCAAGUCAAGCAGAAACAACGUUGAGUAAAGUAUUUCAACCUAGGCUGUACAUAAUAUAGGCACAGUUAAAACCUGUUAAAAUGAUAGUAAAACAAGUGAAAUAACGAGAUCUACUAUUUGUUUUGUAGAAUAAAUAGAAAGCGCUACAAAUGAUUUAGGAUUAAUUCUGAAGGAAGUAGUUCAUUUUCAAACGGCCGUGUUUGGUAGUUGAUUGCACAUUACUGUGUGGCUUAUUCUGUGUAUAAUAUUUUUUGUACUUUGUUAAAUGCAAUUGAUUUACUGUUUAUGUGUGGGUGUGCGUCUGUAGGGUUCUUUAACACAUGACGAGAUUCGUACUGUAAGCAACACUGAAGAUGAUGACAGUCUAGAAACUGAUGAAGACGUUGAUGUACCAGAAUCCAGUAAUCUAUCAGAAGAACGGGAACCUGAAAUAACCCCAAGUGAACAGGAGAAUGCAGAUCUUGAGUCAAUUACCACGGAACAGGACAUUGAGAAUCCUGGCAGUGAACCUUUUCAUUCUCUUGAUGAAUCUACACAAGAAAAGUACCUGCAAGAGGAUGACAAAGUGUAUUCGUCUCAACAACAGAAUGGCCUGCUGCUCAUGGCAUUGAAAAUGAAGCACAAGCUUACCAAGGAAGCAGUCUCUGACAUGCUGGACAUUAUUAAUCUAUUGGCUGGUAAAGGCACUGUACCACAAUCUUGGUACCACUUAGAAAAACCGUUUGAAGGUUUAAAAUAUUUUGUAGAAAUACAUCAUGUUUGCAAUUUCUGUGAAUCUUACUUAGGUAAAGAAACGCACUUACUGUGAGAAAGAAUGGAUAGAGCAAAGGAGUCUGAAAGAAGGAAACUUUUUCUUUCAUUUGCCUUUACAUGCACAGAUCAAAGCAUUUUUAGAGGACCCUGAAUUGUCACAAAAGGUAGUAAGAAAUAGACAUGGCUUCCAGUCACAGACAUUCUGUGACAUAACAUUGUUUAUGCCAGCUGGUACACAGAUAGUGACCAGGCAUCCUGCAUUCCUUUUGCUAUGAAAAUGUUCUUUCAGAUCUUACACUGUAUAGAUAGGAACUCCCGUUCUCUCACCACGGCUAACUUGGUUCGAGGAACUACCGUUCCUUUCGAUUUAUGAAAAACGCCACAGGUACUAUUGUAAUAAUGUUGUAUAUAAAAGGCAGUUGUUAAAAUUCUUGUUAAAUUUUAGCCUCUGCUUAUACAUGUUUCAAACUACCAUGUGUUUUUUCUGUGCAAUGUAUUUGACCUACAAAUGUACAAUAAA
This is a long non-coding RNA of Acipenser ruthenus (sterlet), 1948 nucleotides long. RefSeq lists it as uncharacterized. The transcript has 3 exons. The record is from RefSeq and is a predicted model, not a curated record. NCBI's taxonomy places the organism in Eukaryota, Metazoa, Chordata, Actinopteri, Acipenseriformes, Acipenseridae.